UGUGGGGCAGCUGAAUGGGGGUCGUUGUAGGCUGAACUUCUCGUUCACUGGGUACGUCAAUUUUUUGUCUGUAUAGCUUUCCUCCCCUCAUGAAAAAGAAAAGCUUAUAUUUAUAGGCUUACGACCUCGCUACCUCUGAUUACUCUGAUGAACUCUGUUUAUUAGUUGAAAGUUCCUACAUGUAAUUAAUUGUAUAAAGUGUGUAGAUUACAUUUACUUUUCACCUAAUGCUUUAACUUGCCCAUCUCUCAACACAGGUUUUUAAUGCUUUUUAGAAUUGUACAUGUUAACAUUAUUUUAACUGUCUUGUUCUCAUGAAGAUAGUUUUGCGGGUGCUGUUCUCAACAAAUAGGCCCCCAUCUCACAAUGUACUGUAUCUUCUUGCCUGGAGCAAAUAGUGGUUAGUGAGUUUAGAUGCACAGAGUUCCAAAGAUCUAAUGAAUGUUAUGGCGAAUAGGAGCAGACUAACACAUUUUGCUAGACAAGUUCAUAACCAAAGGAAAAAAAAAUGUACUUAAGAUAUAUAGCAUACUAAAUUAUUUCACUUCUGAUUUUAAUUUUAUUUUACUGUACAAAAAUCUAAAUAACAAUUGUAUUGUAGGUCCACACAAAUGAAAUCCACAGUUGUGUUUGAGUGUUGACCAGUGACACUUGAGACUAAGGAGUGUUUCUGUGUGGUUUGCAAGGAAAGCUUGUGGUGAUUGGUGGGCUGGUAUUAACGUAAACUUUACAUGUUAAGCAAAUGCAAAGUUUACAUUGUUCCCAGAAUGUUAUUUUUUUUCUAUGUUACAAGGGUCCUUCUCAUCACUUUAUAUGCCCAGACAUAAAAACAGGACUCAAUGACGUAUGUUCAGACCAAAAAAAAAGAUAGAAAUUAUAAUAAUCAAUAUUUUAAUGUGAAGUUCUACGUUAGCUUGUUACUUUAUUGAGCUGGACUUGUGAAAGCUUGUAUUGGAAGGGAGAGGCAAGGAUGCACUGGACAUUUCAGUUCUUCACUCACCCCCUAAAUGAAUAACUCAAUUUUAUUCCCUCAUGCUUACCACCCACAUGGUUUUGAAAAUUCCAUAUUGCCUUCUACUUAAGUUAUUAAAUGUUUCUUUAUUAACAUUUUAUGACAGAUUUUAAACAAAAUUACUGGAAGAAUGCCUGUCCUUCUAGAUCAGAGGUGUCAAACCGGUUCCACGGAGGGCCGAGUGUCUGCAGGUUUUUGCUCUCUCCUUGUACUUGAUUGGUUAAUUAGGUCACUGAUUGGUUAGUUUCUACCCUCACCUGGUUGUGUAGGUAUGAACUAGGAACCAAUUUAUAGGAAAAACCAAAAACCUGCAGACACUCGGCCCUUUGUGGAACCGGUUUGACAUCUAGAUUAUUCUUCAUUGAAACCCAAGCUGCCUGUCCGGGCUUGUCCAGUGUGUCCCAACUCUUAUGGUACACUAACGGGGAGGGAAAACUUCAGUGCAAGUUUUUGGUAUAGGCAUUCCUCUUAUAUUUGUUGUAACUGUCUUUUUACAAAUUUCUAUUCCUCCUUGGUCGUUAUGGUUGGUCUGUGAAAUGAUUUUGUCAUCUUGCAGCUGCAGUCACAAGCAUUGCUAUUGUUUCUGCUUCUUGGACUCUGAGAUGUUACUUUCUUUUGAAUGUUUUUCUUGAUAUUCCGAGGUAAAGGCAAUUACUGCUUGGUGAUUGCGUGGUGUAUUUUCAACACUCCCCCCACCCACCAACCUGUUGUGUAAUUUUUUUCUUAUCUGUGACCUCGUUAUUCGGGAGUCCAUAAUGCAUUGCCUUUAAACGCUAUUGUUCUUGUUAGCACUCAAGCAGUACAGCAUAAUAUCUGUGGUGUGCAAAAUAUUUGUUAUUUUUUUUUACAGCAAGGUCUUUAGCCUUCUCUGCAAAGACUUUGCAGCUGCAGUCGAACGGGCGUUUGUUCAUUCGGCGAAAAAGAAGAAAAUACGAACUCAAACUGUGACCAUACUACUAUUAUUAUUACUACUACUACUUCUCAAAUACUUCAGGGAUUGUUCUGCAUCUAUGAAUGUAGGACUCUCAGCUACAUUUGUAAGACAUAGUAUUGUAUCAAUUUCUGUAUUUUAUUCACGGGAAAAGCAAACACUAGUUUCAUAUUUAAAGAUUAAAAAAAUUGGGGGGUACUUUUUCAACUAACACAAAGAGCCUUGACAAAAGGCAGGGCAGCUCAAUACAAAAGUCUACUUUUUAGUUAGUAUCAGAAUGUUCCGUAAGAGUCGCAAAGGUGUAUAAAAACGAAGAAAAAAUGCUCAUACCCAAAUCCACAAACUAUUUUUUAAACCAAAGCACAUUUGAAUGAUUAUGGAACCAUGUGUGGCUCUAAAAAAGAUACAUAUGUAUUUAUCUCAUUGUUUACAUAAACUUUUACAGUUUUUACAGACCUCAGUCGAGACUAGGCCAGUCAGAGGCAUGUCUGUAUGUGUUUGUUGCUUUUUUUUUCCUCCACAGGGGUUUAUCUGCCAAAACAAAAUUCAACAUCCUGCAGCAUGUUUAAAAUGGCUGAAGCUAAGGGGUACAGUUUUUGCGGUGCGUUGCCCCCUUCUGCCAGCUGGCUUUAUGGUGGCCCUGUGGGGAGUCUGAUGGGUUUAGGGUUAGAGUUGAAGGCUCAGGGUGGAAGCCGGUGACACUUCCAUGACAUAUUCAUCAAAGGGCAUUGUCCUUGGCUAUCAGUUUUAUUUUUUCUUGUGUAAUCAAUGCCCUUGAUUAGUAUGUCUGCUGCUUGGGUCUUUUAAAUAUGCAGGGAUCUAAAGAAGUGUGAGGAUCGGGGGUUCGUUGCCCAAAGGGCUGAAGUGGCGUUGGAACUUGUUUACACAGGCUAACCAAUUCUAGGCAAAAUAGCAUAUCUGAUUGAUUGGUCGAAAGUUGAAACAGAUCCCUACUAUACCUCACAGAUCCUUGCAUUUAGGAGUUUCAAAACCUUAUUUUGGAAACUAUAGUGACUGUAAUUCAUUAAUUGCAUGUAAGCAGGUCUAUUUGCUAGGGUUUUAACUGUGAAUGUUGAUGUUUUCUGCGUAUUUGAUGUUGGAAAAAGAUAAUGAUGAUUACUUAGCUGCCUGUGUGUAAAAGCAGCAUAAUCCUCUGACUGGCCUCGCCUCAUACAAAGUUGGUGCAAACACUUAACAGUGUUCUUUGUUCUUCUUUUUAUUUUUUAUCAAAUGUCUAUUUUUGUCAGUGAUGAAUGUAUUUAUUUCACUGGUCCUGCCCUUGCGUCUGCUAAGACAUUUCUCAGCAUGUGAGACCGAGGUCCAGGCAGGUCCUUUUUCUUGGAUUUUAUUGUUUUGUUUUGAGGAUUUCAAGCUGAGAAACAAAAAUGAGACACAGAACAUAGCCAUUAACCACAAUCUGUGAAGUUGUAGACUUUUAUUGGGGUGAACGGAUUUGGCGGUGACGUUCUAUGAAAUUUUUAUACCGUUUCUCAGCUAAAACAAACAAACAGUCUGUACCGUUUUAAUGUUGUUUUACUCACAAUGGGUGUUUGUGCCCAGAUGUUUUGGGUACCAACAGGAGUUUCUCACUUGUUGGCUGGACAUUGGGGGCUAACGUCCAUUGUUCAACCCCCUAUGUUCCUCUGCAGUAGUUGUCACAGCACAUCUGUGGGCCAAAUAUUGUAUCUCUUCCCAAACAUGCUCUUCCUGGGUGUUGCCAUGCUACAGCCAUGUAGAAAACAUAUUCCUCCCUGUCAGUCACACAGCUGAAUCUUUUUUUUCAGCUUCUAACUUCACGUCAUUCCUUCUCUGAACAAGUGUUGUCUCGGUUGCAUUUUCUUGUCCUCAACCACUCGCCGGUACUCAUUUUUUAAGCUUUAGUUUUUUGUCUCUACCACUUCUGUAGAGUGAGGGGGUUUAAGGUAUGUGGGUCGAGAUAGCUUUAUGAAAUGCACUUUGAAUUUUUUUUCUUUUUGGGGGGUCUGUCACAUCGGUUUAAGUAAAAUGCAUUUUUCUCUCUCUCUCGAACCUCAUCAUUGUAGCUGUACCAUUUGUCUGAAAAAAAUAUAAUUAUGCAGUGUUACAAGGCUUUAAGAAACAUUGUACAAAGUUCUGGGAACUCAAACCAAAAUAUUUUCCCUACUCAAAGCUUGUCGGAGUUACCUAUAGCUGUAGUUAUACCUGUGAGAUUGUCUAGAUUUCACCUUUCCACCUCCUAUUUCUUUUCCCCAUCCCCUGGCUGUAUUCGUUAGGUCUGGUCUGAACUGUGACUACAGAGCAGCUGCGAUUGACCACAUCUGACAAAACCAAAGCUAGUUUUAAAAUGGCCCCUGGAUCACCACAGAGAGUUCUCGAGCUAAGGCGUACAUUUAACCUCUUCUUAAAGCUUUACUACCACUCGCCUUUACCGACAAUGCACCAAACCCUACAAUAACUGUCCCUAUGACUGCAUCCUCAGCCUCCGUGAAUAGUGAUUGUGGUUUCUUUCCACAUAUCUUGAACGACGGCAUGUUACUCAUAUUCCAAGUCAGUAUUUACCUACAAGGGCAAAAAAAACACAAUUACCUCAACUGUGUUUUCAGUCAUAUGCUAACUUGCUAUUUACUUCUCAGCAUUACUGCAGAUGCAUUAGUGUUUUUAUUUAUUUUAUUUUACCGUCCGGUUGUACCAAUAUAACUUGUUUUUAAAAAGUGUUUAUCACAGUCUCGUCAAAGGACUUUUUCAAAAGUAACUUGUCUCGUCUCACACCUCGCCACACGAAUGCGCUCCACAUUGACGGAAGGACAUUAUCCGCUGCUAAACUAGUACUUGAAAAUCUUGAUUAACGGAGUUGUCCACAAAGCAGGUGUAUCAAGCUGCUGUCCGGCAUAUUUUUCAUGAACAGCCAGCCUUUCAAUAAUGUAGGAGGAUCCAGUUGCUCUGAGUUUCUGGAUUGGACAUGUAAGGGUCUUGAACUAUAAAUUAUUGAGGGCUAACACUCCCUUCCCCCUUACACACACAAACAGCCGCUCUUCCACACUUGUUUAUUCAAACACAUAUGGUCUAAUGCAAUGACCACCUCUUGCUAGCGGCAGCACCCAGGCGAAGCUCUUCUCUACACUUUAUAGAGAGCUCGUAUUCAGGUCAGAGCUGUCGCUGCGGCGAUGGGGCUCGCUAACUUAGUGUCAUAAGUGUACUACAGCUGACCUCAGCACUCACAACCUUGCAGUCUUAAUGUACAGCGGUGAGGAAAAUAAACUGUUAUUUUAUGAUCUUUUCAUUAAAAGCUUGAUUGAAAACCAA
Molecule: long non-coding RNA, 5225 nt
Organism: Esox lucius (northern pike)
Lineage: Eukaryota; Metazoa; Chordata; Actinopteri; Esociformes; Esocidae
Source: Ensembl